This 494-nucleotide ribosomal RNA is filed under the name uncultured bacterium. RNAcentral describes it as "partial 16S ribosomal RNA". It matches the Rfam family "Bacterial small subunit ribosomal RNA", at positions 28 to 507 of the family's 1533-position model. The record is from RNAcentral.
GACGAACGCUGGCGGCGUGCUUAACACAUGCAAGUCGAACGGUGAAGCGCCUUCCUUUUUGGUGGGUGUGGAUGAGUGGCGAACGGGUGAGUAACACGUGAGUAACCUGCCCCCUUCUUCUGGAUAACCGCAUGAAAGUGUGGCUAAUACGGGAUAUUCUGGGUCUGUCGCAUGAUGGGUCUGGGAAAGAUAUUGUUUCGGUGGGGGAUGGGCUCGCGGCCUAUCAGCUUGUUGGUGGGGUGAUGGCCUACCAAGGCGGUGACGGGUAGCCGGCCUGAGAGGGUGGACGGUCACACUGGAACUGAGACACGGCCCAGACUCCUACGGGAGGCAGCAGUGGGGAAUAUUGCACAAUGGGCGCAAGCCUGAUGCAGCGACGCCGCGUGAGGGAUGGAGGCCUUCGGGUUGUGAACCUCUUUCGCCAGUGAAGCAGGCCUGCCUCGUUUGUGGGUGGGUUGACGGUAGCUGGAUAAGAAGCGCCGGCUAACUACGUG